AUUGAACGCUGGCGGCAUGCCUUACACAUGCAAGUCGAACGGCAGCACGGGUGCUUGCACCUGGUGGCGAGUGGCGAACGGGUGAGUAAUACAUCGGAACAUGUCCUGUAGUGGGGGAUAGCCCGGCGAAAGCCGGAUUAAUACCGCAUACGAUCUACGGAUGAAAGCGGGGGACCUUCGGGCCUCGCGCUAUGGGGUUGGCCGAUGGCUGAUUAGCUAGUUGGUGGGGUAAAGGCCUACCAAGGCGACGAUCAGUAGCUGGUCUGAGAGGGCGACCAGCCACACUGGGACUGAGACACGGCCCAGACUCCUACGGGAGGCAGCAGUGGGGAAUUUUGGACAAUGGGCGAAAGCCUGAUCCAGCAAUGCCGCGUGUGUGAAGAAGGCCUUCGGGUUGUAAAGCACUUUUGUCCGGAAAGAAAUCCUUGGCCCUAAUACGGUCGGGGGAUGACGGUACCGGAAGAAUAAGCACCGGCUAACUACGUG
This 486-nucleotide ribosomal RNA is filed under the name uncultured bacterium. Its description in RNAcentral is "partial 16S ribosomal RNA". It matches the Rfam family "Bacterial small subunit ribosomal RNA", at positions 30 to 507 of the family's 1533-position model. The record is from RNAcentral.